UCCAACAGUUGUCAGCUAUUCAGGCUGUGUGGUGCCUGUGAUUGUGUUACACUGUUGGAAGAGUAAAUGCUGUUUACUGAGGGCCAGCUCCGAGCACCGUUUUGGUGUUGGUGCUGAUUACCUUUAAGCAGUGUUGCAUCCCUGAGAGUGGACUAACUCCUUGUCGGGUUGGUCCUGGUCUAGGUGCAAACAGU
Small nucleolar RNA from Mesocricetus auratus (golden hamster), 194 nucleotides. Its record names the gene SNORA74. It matches the Rfam family "Small nucleolar RNA SNORA74". Rfam says of the family: U19 belongs to the H/ACA class of snoRNAs. snoRNAs bind a number of proteins (including dyskerin, Gar1p and Nop10p in the case of the H/ACA class) to form snoRNP complexes. This class are thought to guide the sites of modification of uridines to pseudouridines by forming direct base pairing interactions with substrate RNAs. Targets may include ribosomal and spliceosomal RNAs but the exact functions of many snoRNAs, including U19, are not confirmed. NCBI's taxonomy places the organism in Eukaryota, Metazoa, Chordata, Mammalia, Rodentia, Cricetidae. The record is from Ensembl.